This 352-nucleotide ribosomal RNA is filed under the name Paenibacillus polymyxa. Its description in RNAcentral is "bacterial SSU rRNA". It matches the Rfam family "Bacterial small subunit ribosomal RNA", at positions 1 to 336 of the family's 1533-position model. Lineage: Bacteria; Bacillati; Bacillota; Bacilli; Caryophanales; Paenibacillaceae. The record is from RNAcentral.
UCUUUAAUGGAGAGUUUGAUCCUGGCUCAGGACGAACGCUGGCGGCGUGCCUAAUACAUGCAAGUCGAGCGGGGUUAUGUAGAAGCUUGCUUCUACAUAACCUAGCGGCGGACGGGUGAGUAACACGUAGGCAACCUGCCCACAAGACAGGGAUAACUACCGGAAACGGUAGCUAAUACCCGAUACAUCCUUUUCCUGCAUGGGAGAAGGAGGAAAGACGGAGCAAUCUGUCACUUGUGGAUGGGCCUGCGGCGCAUUAGCUAGUUGGUGGGGUAAAGGCCUACCAAGGCGACGAUGCGUAGCCGACCUGAGAGGGUGAUCGGCCACACUGGGACUGAGACACGGCCCAGAC